CAGAUGCCUGAAGAACAUGAACAAACCUGUCAUAUGAAGAUGUAGGAUCAGAAUGUUCACGAAAAAGAAAAAGCAAGUGAAAACUUUUACAGUCAGAAUGAGCUUGGCUUAUUUAGAGAAUAGGCGAUGAAAUAAACAGAGACUUGCAGCAAAGUAGGAGAGCAGCAAUUGAAGAACCGUGGUUACACCGCAAAGGAUAUCAAUGCUCACAGCAUCUCAGAGCGCUAGUCUACCCUGCCACCCUUAUGGAUAAUAUAUUUCUGGACUUUCAGGAACCGAGUCAGUACCCAGAACUACAGGACUGUCAAAUGCUUCUGAAGAGUCUCCUUUACUUCAUCCUUCAGUUGCAAUACAUCAUUUUUGUUCUUUUGCUUCUGUUAUUUUAACAUAGUCUACAGAUA
Long non-coding RNA from Gorilla gorilla gorilla (western lowland gorilla), 401 nucleotides. RefSeq lists it as uncharacterized. The record is from RefSeq and is a predicted model, not a curated record. NCBI's taxonomy places the organism in Eukaryota, Metazoa, Chordata, Mammalia, Primates, Hominidae. The transcript is spliced from 3 exons.